GUGCUUAUUUUGGCAGCACAUAUACUAAAUUGGAAUGAUACAGAGAUUAGCAUGACCUCUGUGAAAGGAUGACACGCAAAUGCAUGACUGUUCCUUUUUUUUU
Jaculus jaculus (lesser Egyptian jerboa) is the source of this 103-nucleotide small nuclear RNA. NCBI's taxonomy places the organism in Eukaryota, Metazoa, Chordata, Mammalia, Rodentia, Dipodidae. The record is from RefSeq and is a predicted model, not a curated record.